CCUACGGUGGGCAGCAGUGGGGAAUAUUGCACAAUGGGGGAAACCCUGAUGCAGCGACGCCGCGUGAGUGAAGAAGUAUUUCGGUAUGUAAAGCUCUAUCAGCAGGGAAGAAAAUGACGGUACCUGAUUAAGAAGCCCCGGCUAACUACGUGCCAGCAGCCGCGGUAAUACGUAGGGGGCAAGCGUUAUCCGGAUUUACUGGGUGUAAAGGGAGCGUAGACGGGCUUGUAAGUCAGAUGUGAAAUCCUGUAGCUUAACUACAAAACUGCAUUUGAAACUAUGAGUCUAGAGUGUGGGAGAGGUAGGUGGAAUUCUUGGUGUAGGGGUAAAAUCCGUAGAUAUCAAGAGGAAUACUCAUUGCGAAGGCGACCUACUGGAACAUUACUGACGCUCAUGCACGAAAGCGUGGGGAGCAAACAGGAUUAGAUACCCGGGUAGUC
RNAcentral lists this ribosomal RNA (440 nucleotides) under uncultured bacterium. RNAcentral describes it as "partial 16S ribosomal RNA". It matches the Rfam family "Bacterial small subunit ribosomal RNA", at positions 338 to 795 of the family's 1533-position model. The record is from RNAcentral.